This 807-nucleotide ribosomal RNA is filed under the name uncultured bacterium. RNAcentral describes it as "bacterial SSU rRNA". It matches the Rfam family "Bacterial small subunit ribosomal RNA", at positions 8 to 796 of the family's 1533-position model. The record is from RNAcentral.
AGAGUUUGAUCCUGGCUUCAGAACGAACGCUGGCGGCGUGCCUAACACAUGCAAGUCGAGCGCGAAAAGAGCAAUCUGAGUAGAGCGGCGCACGGGUGCGUAACACGUGGAUAAUCUGCCUUUGGGUCGGAGAUAACCUUUCGAAAGAUUGGCUAAUAUCCAAUAAGCUUACGAGCUCUUCGGAACUUGUGAGAAAAGUAGACCUCUAUUUAUAAGUUUACGCCUGAAGAUGAGUCCGCGGCCCAUCAGCUAGUUGGCGGGGUAACAGCCCACCAAGGCUACGACGGGUAGCUGGUCUGAGAGGACGAUCAGCCACACUGGAACUGAGACACGGUCCAGACUCCUACGGGAGGCAGCAGUGGGGAAUUUUCCACAAUGGGCGAAAGCCUGAUGGAGCAACGCCGCGUGUGUGAUGAAGGUCUUCGGAUCGUAAAGCACUUUCGACCGGGAAGAAAAACCUCUGGCUAACAUCCAGGGGCCUGACGGUACCGGGAGAAGAAGCACCGGCUAACUCUGUGCCAGCAGCCGCGGUAAUACAGAGGGUGCAAGCGUUGUUCGGAAUUAUUGGGCGUAAAGCGCGUGUAGGCGGCUUGGCAAGUCAGAUGUGAAAGCCCAUGGCUUAACCAUGGAAGUGCGUCUGAAACUGCUGAGCUUGAGUCUCGGAGAGGGUGGCGGAAUUCCGCAAGUAGAGGUGAAAUUCGUAGAUAUGCGGAGGAACACCGGUGGCGAAGGCGGCCAUCUGGACGAGUACUGACGCUGAGACGCGAAAGCGUGGGGAGCAAACAGGAUUAGAUACCCUGGUAGUCG